UGCGAUGAUUAUUGAGCAAACAAGCUCCUCGAUUAGAAUGGCAGAGAGGAAGAUUGCACACCCAGGCUAAAUUACACUUUACAGGGAGAUGGCACAGAACAGCUUUCUGCUGAGGUUACACUUAAAUUACAGCUGUUGCUAAAGCAAACAGCUCACAGUUUAUGCAUGGAUUUAAAUUAUGCAUCCAGCAGGCAGGACGUUUAUGGGAAAAAAUCAAGGCAACUCAAUAGAUUACUGAAUUGCCGCCACACUUGUAAGGGACAAAAAUAUCUGUAGUAGCAGGGCAUCAAAAAUGAGCCACAAACAUCCAUUAUUCGCCAUUGUCCAGCACUCCUGAGAAAAGCAGCUCAGCUCUCGAGCACCCCUGGAGUUGUUACCAGUGUUAAAAUUGUAAAGUGACUGAGUGCAUCUCUGCCAUGUGAGCACUGAUGCCUUAAGAAGAGUUGCCUGACGCUUUGGGGAAAUGUGUUCAUCAGUGCCUGGCACGUGAAGACCCAAACAUUUGCAAGAAUGUGUCGAUGUUUUAAGGAUCUGUAAGGAGACUGAGGAAUGAGACAUCUGUCACAGAGAACUGGGGCUGAAACCUUACUAGGACCAGUGUUAUUGUGCAAACCAAGAGCACACCAGUAGGAGAACAGUGCCAGGAGCAAGCAGUAGCAUGAAGCAUCACAGGAAGGGAAGAGAUUGGAGCCCAUAGGAACCGGUGCCCUUUCCGUUCUGCCCUGCAGCCGUUUGCAGAGCAGCAAGUCAUGCCUGCACGGAGCUGCAGCCAAGCUCGUGUCCAGAAGUCGUGUGUUUGGCAGCUCCUCCUAUGCAGGCAGGAGCUGAUUAAUGCCAGCUGAAUCCAUGGUGAUAGGAGUCAGCGUGGCAAUGCUGCCCAUGGAAACCAGAGCUGCCGACUGUCACUGCUUCCUGCGCCCGGGCUUUAAUAUGUUGUCACUCACCUCGGCUUUGCUCCCACUUUCACCUUCAUAAAUCUGGAGUAAGCUUGCUUGUCGAUGAGAGCCAGAAGGCGUUAAAAGGAACUGGAGCCAGCAGUCAGUUGCCCUCCCAAGGAAUGACCAACACAGCAUAUCUUUUUGCCGCACAGGAAAAUUAGUGCAGCUUCCUGACUGUAACUGCAAGCAGACUGCCUGCUCUCAGGAGAUCCGAGGAAGGGAUGGCUUCCUCUGUGCUGCUGCUGAGGAGCAGAGGAGUGUUUAAGUGGUACAGCCGGGAGUGAGGCAGGCACCCAGCAGACAGAUCUGUGCAGCCAAAUUCCAGUCAUUGCACAGGGAUGGGGGCCAGAGCAACACAGCCCCACAUGGGGUGGUGAGAGUUUUCCUCUCAAAUCUGUCCUCUGUGCUCCAGAUCUGACAGCAUAAGGACACAGACGCAGUGAAGGAGCAAUGUUCAUCUGCCCCUUUUCGGUUGACUUCUCUUAUUUAAAAAGAAGAGAUGUUCAUAACUGCAAAAAAUAAACAUUAUUUCUCACAAUAGGUCAGUGGCAACUUUCCUUAGGAGGGACUAGCCAGGUAUCCCAAAGUAAUUGACAGGAAUAGUCAGGCAGGCAGUUUGAUACUGAAAUAGAGAGUAAAAAUGUACUGUGUUGCUAUUAGCUGUAGUAGUAAUGGUGGGGAGAGACAUACUUGUAGCUGUCAUGGAAGUAUUAAAUCCAAAAUUACUCACUGUUAUCAGCACUGAUAAAAAUCUAGCUAUCAGAUUCUUAAAUUGGUAUCGAGAAUGAUGAACUCUCGGUCUCUGUUAUCACCACUGAUCAGGGACAGGCUGCUGCUGAGUCUGUCUGGACUCUUGCCUCGUGCUUUUUCCCCCGGAUAACGUUCAAAGCCCAACACACGGAGCAACAGCUGGAUUCCACAGACAGAUGUGGGGAGCAGCAAGUCAGUGAGAUGGCUGUGAUUAGUGUGAUAAACAGCAAUCACGGCACGCAGCUGCCUCGUGGCUGGCAGGGUUUUGCAGCAGCAAGGUUCUGUGAUGUCCCUGCCCAGAACAUCCCCACACUGAGUUGCUGCACAGCAGCACUGUCUACCAACCUCAGAUCCUUAGGGCUGCCCCUCGGAGGUGGAUGCAGCCCACAGCUUUAUGGACACUUGCAGAAUUUGGAGGUGCCUUCCAGUCCCAUUUCCCCCCUGCACUUUCUGAACUCUCCCCUGGUCUGUAUAGGAGACAUCAUUUCAACCUGGAGGCACUAACUGGUCACUGACUGCCAGACUGUUCAUAGUGCUAUAACGUGACUUCACUUGGUGCCAAGGGCUGAAGUGCUGCUGGUGGGUUGUACACCCUUUGGAUACCCUUUAUCCACUGCAUUCACUGCUAUUUCAGAGGUACCCUGAAGGUAUUUAAGACACUCAAUAGUGCCAAAUGCUCUGAAAACAAGGACAAGACCAUGAGAUGUUCACUGCCAAAAUGGGUUCCAAAUGUCACUGCCUUGCCUUUAUUGCCACCAGCCUGCUGGUGUCCCAGCAUGUAGGAAUGCUCCAAAGCAGUGCUGGUCUGCCCCAACUCAGUGCCUCCUGCAGCAGCCAAAAUGAAACCAAAUUUUGUACAAAAGCAUAUGAAAAGAGUUCAUGUCUUCCACUUACCAGCAAAGCUUUAAAGGAGAGUGAUUUUUGGUGAGAGGAACAGUUUAAACCAUUGCAGCUAUUUUUGAACGUGAAUCUUUUCUAUAACCUGAGAGCCAGCUUCUUGCCUGAUGCGAUGACAUGCUAAGAGCAUAAGGCAUACAUAGGGGGAGCAGAAAGGAAGGGUUAUUAUCCCCAUUUCACAGGUGAAAUCUGAAAUGCAGGGGAGAUUGAGUGAUUUUUCCCCAAACUACAUAGGCACUGAAAAAAGUCUCACCAGAUGUGAAUGGAGAUGCAUCCAUGCUACAGUUAUUAUGGGAGGCAAGUGCAGCUUGUGCCUGCAGCUGCAAGGUGACGUUCAGUCUUCUGAUUUCUGUGUUUGCUGUUGUGUGGAGGGACUUGGAAGAAGGCAGCAAAGCUGCUGGGGGCUGUGUUAGAUGUGCCUGUGCAAGUACAGUCUGGGAAAAGGGAAUGGUUGUGAGCCUGGAGUCUUUCAGCUUGUUUAAUAAAGAUCUUUCCCGUUGCAUCAACCGGAGCUAACAAAGCAGUGUCUGCACACACUUGAUUAACCUGAGAUCCCUCAUGUCUGCCCCUGGUGUGUGUGUGCUCGGUGAGGGUCGGAGGGCUGCAGAGCAAGUCAGCUGGCAGCCUCUCUCCUGAAGCAGCCCCUCACAGGGCUCUCUCUUUGCUGUGCUGAGAGCCAGCUGGGUGCAUGGAAGCACAGGAGGGCUUUUGCAUAUGGGAAAAGACAUCAGGAGAAGGGGUGUGAAGCCUCCCUGCAGAGUGGCAUAAAUUAUCUGUUGAAGAGCUAGUCUGUGGCCAUCACCAUUACCUGAAUUAUAGGUCUUUAGUCUGAACAGCUUCAAAGCAAGCUGUGUUUUUUUGUAUAUUACCCCUUCAUCCUUUAAUAUUUAGAAGAUGAAAGGAAGGAUUUCAAGCACCGGUGGGGAAUUUAGGCAGGAACAGAACAUUCUGUUACUUAUUGUGUAGACAAAGGAUGUUUGUCUUAAUUAAGGUAAAAACUGAGCAAGAAUACAUAGGAGCACUGCUCUCUGAUGGCGGAUGGGAUCUGCCUGAGAACAAUCCACCUCUGUGUGUGACUUGACCAGUUCAGGCCGCGGUCCUGAUCAUUCAGCUCAGUUUCUGUUGAACUGUCAGACAUGUCAUAAGGCAAAGCUGCUGAAAGCUAAGUUAGAGCAGAGAGUGAAGUGAGUUUAUGAUCUCAUUAAUAAUUAGAAAUUGAACCUGAGUAGACUUGAUUUUUUUCAAAAGAAAAUAUCCUGUACCUAUAGCAACUAAUGUCCACUUGGGGGUCUUUCUGGUAGAGCAGAAAGCAGCUUUUGUGAGGCAUAGCUGUGUACAAUGCCAAGAGAAAUGAGAGCUAAUAAAAUGGAGAAUAUACAUCACCCAUUUACAUUUAUUGCACAUUAAACCUUGGCGCACACAAAAGAUAAUGACAGAUGCAAAUUGAGAGCACUUGAGCCGUGUGUCUGUCAAUGGGGAACAGGCACAAAGCCAGAGACCCAUAUUUCCACCAACCACAUGCUUUGAGGUGGGGUCAGGCAUGAACUGAGCUGCAAAGCGUGGCCUAUGAGACUGCAGGUUAGCCUCAGCCCGCGAGCACCUUUCUUUCUGUUUGCAUCCAGACUUGUGGCAAUCAGUUAUUUGCAGUACUGGAACUGAACCAUCUGCCCCAGUACUGCCUUUGCACAUGUAGAAUUCUGAUCCAGAGAGCCUAUCCUCGGCUCCUCCAGCUCACUUGUUUCAGAUCCCCAUUGGGGAAAUGUAGAAAAGGCUGUCUCUAGCCCAAAGAAUUUGAAUACAAAGAAUAAGCAAAUAAAAAUGCUGGCCUUGUAAUUAAUAUACUGGCAUAAGGACAAUACACUGGAAGGCAAUUUCCGUCCCGCUUGAUGUGGGAUCUUGUGUGUGUCACUGAAGCUCACUGUCACCCCAGCUGAGCAAGAGGGAUGUUGCUCUCGUCUGAUUCACCUAGGAUCAAAGUGCUUACUUGUUUUAGAUCACUGUUCUUUAUUCAGCCAGCACAGCCGUCUGCUCCUCUAAUGCAAAAACUUCAUUUCAGAUGGAAAAAGUAUAGCAAGGUGCAAGUUUCUGCACAGCUGGAGCACAGCUACAGUGCUGGGGAAACAUCUGCAUAGAGCACAGAGCCCUUCGGGUGACAAGCAAGCAAGUCAACAGGCCUCUAUCAAAACAGCCCCCUGGGCAACUGCCUGGAGAGCUCAUCCUUGGUCAAGUAGUUGUUUUCAAGGAGGAUUUCUGGCCCCUAAGCUGCAGUGUUUGCCUUCAGCCUUUCUGUGCCUCCCCCUCCUCCUGGGAGCGGAUUGCUGUGAGAACAUCUUGCUGCUUUCUUCGCUUCUGCUGCGCCCAACACCCGUCAGCACAAUGCUGAAAAGGAGCAGAGAAAGGGGGCUGCAAGCACUUUAAUUACUGCGAGUGCUUGUUUUGUGUACGUGUGAUUGCUUCCUAUGAUACAGUAACUUCUUCUCUUUCCCUAUGCAAGCGUGGUGUUUCUAUUUAUCACGAUGAAACUGGAGCAGCAAAUUAGAGAGGGAAAGGGAGCAACCGCAUAGCUCUAUUUGUAAGCAAAACUGGCAGUGUGUGCGGAGGAGCAACAGUUUCUGUUGAGAGCGAGUGAUGGAUUCUCUCUCUGCAGAAAUCUGGCUCCUUUGGCCCUUCACUUUCACUUCCUGUUCUUAAUUCGCUUUGAAAAGAUUACCCAAGCUCUCACCAAGUUUAGAAGAGCUGUGUGCUAUUAUUCCCAUUUCACAGAGAAAAAAAAAAUGUAGAUGUAGAGAAGCUUCUAUGUGUGAA
Molecule: long non-coding RNA, 5390 nt
Organism: Numida meleagris (helmeted guineafowl)
Lineage: Eukaryota; Metazoa; Chordata; Aves; Galliformes; Numididae
Exons: 3
Source: RefSeq, a predicted model, not a curated record